AGUGAACGCUGGCGGCAGGCCUAACACAUGCAAGUCGAGCGGCAGCGGGUCCUUCGGGAUGCCGGCGAGCGGCGGACGGGUGAGGAAUGCAUCGGAAUCUGCCCUGUCGUGGGGGAUAACCUAGGGAAACUUAGGCUAAUACCGCAUACGACCCACGGGUGAAAGCGGGGGAUCGCAAGACCUCGCGCGAUAGGAUGAGCCGAUGUCCGAUUAGCUAGUUGGCGGGGUAAAGGCCCACCAAGGCGACGAUCGGUAGUUGGUCUGAGAGGAUGAUCAGCCACACUGGGACUGAGACACGGCCCAGACUCCUACGGGAGGCAGCAGUGGGGAAUAUUGGACAAUGGGCGCAAGCCUGAUCCAGCCAUGCCGCGUGGGUGAAGAAGGCCUUCGGGUUGUAAAGCCCUUUUGUCCGGGAAGAAAUCGUCUGGGCUAAUACCCCGGGCGGAUGACGGUACCGGAAGAAUAAGCACCGGCUAACUUCGUG
This 484-nucleotide ribosomal RNA is filed under the name uncultured bacterium. RNAcentral's name for it is "partial 16S ribosomal RNA". It matches the Rfam family "Bacterial small subunit ribosomal RNA", at positions 30 to 507 of the family's 1533-position model. The record is from RNAcentral.